Long non-coding RNA from Rattus rattus (black rat), 1136 nucleotides. RefSeq lists it as uncharacterized. The record is from RefSeq and is a predicted model, not a curated record. The transcript has 8 exons. Lineage: Eukaryota; Metazoa; Chordata; Mammalia; Rodentia; Muridae.
GGUGUGCUUCACCUCUCCUACCAAGCCUUCAUCCCUGUCUAUGAGGACGAAGAAGUUACCAGGGAAAUUGGUGAUGGGCCUGGCUGUCCUGGAGAAUGCUCUUGAUUAAGUUGGUGAUAGAAAACGGGAGAACUGAAGACAAGCACUUUAUAAACUCCCUUGUCUGCUUGAAUUUGUAGUGCUGAUGGAUCUGGACCCUGGUGUAUUCUCCCUGUGGACCAACAGCUGUCAGAAGACAUUGACACAGGAAGUCAAGGGGCAGGAUCUCCAUCCUCCCAGUUUCUUUGGUUUUACAUAGAACUAAGUGAUCCCUGAGAUCGCUCUCAAGACCAGGAAUCCAUCAGCUUCAGGGGCAAGCAGGGAGGCUGAAUGCUGCUGGGUGCAGAUGGGGAGCAAUGCAGGAUUUGAGCAUGGACUGCACAGACUUCCUCCCAAGAGAAGAGGAAUGAGGCAGAAAUGGACCCUAAGAGCACAAGAUAAUCAUAAAUAUCACAAGAACCCUUUGGAGGUUGAAUGCUGACUUUAUCCAAAGAGAAGAUGCAUGAGGUGCUUCAGGUCUUUAAAGCAAAGAACUGCCAACAAUUCAACACAGAGUAUGAAAAAUGGCGGCGAAGUACAGUGUCGAAUAACUGGAUGCUGAGACUUGCCCCCCAAAUCCCAAAACAAUCAGGUACCAUGAGAAAGCACUGGAGCUAGAAUGAUGCUGGCUGAAGACAGGGAGAAAUGCAGGAUUGUUAUUGACUAGGCUGUCACUUCUGGCUCUCAGGUCUUCAGAGAGGAUGGACAAGGACGGGAGUGAUCCCUGAGAUCGCUCUCAAGACCAGGAAUCCAUCAGACUUCAGGGCCAAGCAUGGAGGCUGAAUGCUGCUGGGUGCAGAUGGGGAGCAAUGCAGGAUUUGAGCAUGGACUGCACAGACUUCCUCCCAAGAGAAGAGGAAUGAGGCAGGUGGGUGCCUCAAGGCUUGCUUUCCUUUCCCUUCUUGCUCGCUUUGUUUUUAGAUUUCAUUUUAUCAAUUUAAUUAUUUAUGUAGUGGGAGCACAGGUCCAUCCUUGUUAGAAAUGGCAUAAAAUGCAAAAUAAAAGCUAAAUUCUAGGAGUACAACAGUCUUCUGACAGGAAGAAGGCUAGACCCACAC